GGCUCCCUUCUGUGAUUGACCCUGAGCCUGCGUUCGCGCUGACGACGGGGACUGCGGGGGUCUCGUGGUGGGAAUUGUGGGCGCUGACAUAGGAGAGGCGCCUGCUGGGCGCUAGGACGCAGGACCCCUUGGGACAGGAACGGGUGUAUGGGAACCCGGUGGGGCCAGGGUCCCAGGGGGCACAGGGGCUGGGCGGUGACUUACGUAGCGGUCCCUCAGCGCCUUGGCAGCCGCCAGCGUCCGGGGCUCCAGCGAGCGGUAGUGCGAGAGCAGGCAGCGCCGGGGGGCCUUCUGCGAUCACCGUGCACAGGACCCACAGCCCCGCGGCCACUGCGGCCCAGACACUCGGCCGCAUCUCUGCUUCUGCAGCAGGCGAGAGACGUCAGGGAAGCCAAAGAGAGGGUCCAGCGCGUCCAGCCCCCCGCCUUGGGUUAGGAUCCCAGGGAAGGCAAUGCUCGGAGCGUGAAGGCACAGCACACACAGUGGGAGAGAGAGUGGGAGCCGGCCCCCUCCUCGCCUUGGCCUCUGCCCUCACUCCUGUCUGCAGUGCACCCUCUGUGCCUCGUGCUGCAGCAGGUGCUGCCGUCCACUGUCCCCUGGGAGGCGUCCAGAGCCGUCUCCACCUGGGCAACAGUGCCUCGACGGUCCAUGCUGGCUUUUAUGCGCAGGGCUGAGAAUGGGGUUUGCAGCCGGGCUUUCCCGUCCAGGGCAAGCUUUCCCAACAUCAGAGCUGGCCCCAGGCCUCUGGGAUCCCAGUCGGGUGUGAGGACUUCAACCCGAGGUUGGCCUGUGCCCGGGAUGGCUGCCCUCCAACACUCGGUUUCCAAAUUGUCUCUGUCCCUGUUUCUACUGUCUGUUUCCUCUUUCUUUGCUUCACCCUGGUUGUCUUUAUCUUCGUUCUGCAAUCACAACCAGCCCUUGUGUAGUGUUGACUGUGCAUCAGGCUCUCUUCUAUGUAAUUGACACAGACAUAUCAUCUCAUUUUUGUACCAGGGCAGCCCUGGAGGUGUAGCUGAGAAAGAGAACGCUUAAUUUAUUUUAUUUUAUUUUAUUUUAUUUCAGAGACAGAGUCUUGCUUUGUUGCCCAGCCUGUAGUAGUGGUGCAGUCACAGCUCACUUCAGACUCAACCUCCCAGGCUCAAGCAAUCCUCCCACCUCAUUCUCCAUAGUAGCUGGGACUACCGGUGGGUGCCACCACCAUUUUUUGUAGCAACCUGGUUUCGCCAUGUUGCCCAGGUUGGUCUCUAACGCCUGAGCUCAAGACAUCUGCCCGCCUCAGCCUCCCAAAAUUCUUGGAUUACAGGCAUGAUCCAUUGCACCUGGCCUCAUUAUUUUCUUAAACCGUUUUUUUCUAGUCUCUUUAUCUAUGGGUGCAUUGAUUAAAAGAACUGCAGAUGCCCGAAAGGCCACACGAGCUUCAGGACGCUUCCUUUGCUUAUUACUGGAGGAAGAAAAGGCUGGGGCAAAACAAGUGCAAACCAGACACAGUGACCCACGGUUACCUUUAGAUCAUUAAUAUAUAAUUAUCAUGGUAAACUCCCUACCCAUGGAGGAAAAUACGCUCACCAUUUGCUGAACAUACAUCAUAUGAAGAGGCAUGCUUAUGAUCUGCACCUGCGUCUGGAGUUGCUCUCUGCGCAUGCUUACAUACCUCCCCACCCCACAGCUAACUCCUUAAAAUUUCCCAGCUCCCCACAGCUGGGCGAUAAGGUGUUUUUUGUUUUUUGUUUUUUUUGAGAUGGAGUUUCACCCUUGUUGCCCAAGCUGGAGUGCAGUGGCGUGAUCUCGGCUCACUGCAACCUCCACCUCCCGGGUUCAAGCAAUUCUCCUGUCUCAGCCUCCUGAGUAGCUGGGAUUACAGGCACAUGCCACCAUGCCUGGCUAGUUUUUUGUAGUUUUAGUAGAGAUGGGGUUUCACCAUGUUGGCCAAGCUGGCCUCAAACUCCUGACUUCAGGUGAUCCGCCCGCCUUGGCCUCCCAAAGUGCUGGGAUUACAGGCAUGAGCUCGCCCAGCAAUAAGGUGUCUUUAGAGCAAGAGUUCUCUCCUUCCCCAUCCUAGCUAGGAAUAAAACCUGCUUGCCUUUUUGUUUCCAAUUGGGUGUUCUUUCUUUGCAACCAAUGCAGAGUAGGGAAAGAACUGCAUUUACAGGUGACAAUUUCAUUGUCAAAAAUGACACAAGCCCGGGUACAGUGGCUCAGGCCUGUAAUCCCAGCAUGUUGGGAGGCUGAGGAGGGAGGAUUGUUUGAGCCCAGGAGUUCGAGACCAGCCUGGGCAAUAUAGUGAGACCCUGUCUCUACAAAAAGUAAGGGAUUUAAAAAUUAGCUGGGCAUGGUGGUGUUACUGGAAAAGCAUCCUGAUCCAGACCCCAAGAGAGGGUUCUUAGAUCUUGUGCAAGAAAGAAUUUGGGGCGAGUCCACAGUGCAAAGCAAAAGCAAGUUUAUUUUAAAAAGUAAAGUGGUGGCUGGGUGCAGUGGCUCACACCUGUAAUCCCAGCACUUUGGGAGGCCGAGGCAGGUGGAUCACUUGAGGUCAGGAGUUCAAUACCAGCCUGACCAACAUGGCAAAACCCUGUCUCUACUAGAAAUACAAAAAAAUUAGCCGGGUGUGGUGGUGCACACCUGUAGUUCCAGCUACUUGGAAGGCUGAGGCAGGAGAAUUGCAGUGAGCCAAGGUUGCGCCACUGCACUCCAGCCUGGGUGACAGAGCGAGAAAAAAAUAAGCAAAGUGGCGAAGGAAUAGCUACUCCAUAGACAGAGUAGGGUGUUCCUGAAAAUAAGAGGAGGAAUGGGCCCACCCUAGGUACAAUGCUUGUUUAUAACAAAAAAUAUCAUGGGGAGAUGUGCUCUGCUACCAGGGUUUGUGACAAAGGAUUAAAUUUCUUAAUUAUCAUAUUUUGCAAAAACCGAUAUUACUAUCUUUAAAGCAAAACGAGGAAUGCUUCUGAUGAAGAAUGCUUCUGUUCUCAAGAUACCGAGAUUUCAGGACAUUCCUGAGCCUGAGUCUCUUUAGUAAAUGUUAUCAAUCUGUUCCAUUAACAGUAAACAUCUAGAGGCUAGGAAUGCCUAACUUCCUGGAAAUGCAGCUCAGCAGGUCCCAGCCUCCUUUUUCCUAGCCCUCACUCAAGAUGGAGUCGCUCUGGUUCAAAUGCCUCUGACAGUGGCACACACCUGUAGUCCCAGCUACUCAUGGGGCUGAGAUGAAAGGAUCCCUUGAGUCUGGGAGGUUGAGGCUGCAGUGAGCUGUGAUUGUGCCACGGCACUCCAGCCUGGGCGACAGAGUGAGAGACUGUCUCAAAAAAAAAAAAAAAAAAAAAGACACAAACCAGGCACAGUCGCUCAUGCCUGUAAUCCCAG
RNAcentral lists this long non-coding RNA (3354 nucleotides) under Homo sapiens (human). RNAcentral describes it as "HSALNT0259700". The record is from RNAcentral. Lineage: Eukaryota; Metazoa; Chordata; Mammalia; Primates; Hominidae.